This 1254-nucleotide ribosomal RNA is filed under the name Microbacterium paraoxydans. RNAcentral describes it as "bacterial SSU rRNA". It matches the Rfam family "Bacterial small subunit ribosomal RNA", at positions 195 to 1461 of the family's 1533-position model. Lineage: Bacteria; Bacillati; Actinomycetota; Actinomycetes; Micrococcales; Microbacteriaceae. The record is from RNAcentral.
GCGUUUGGAAAGAUUUUUCGGUUGGGGAGGGGCUCGCGGCCUAUCAGCUUGUUGGUGAGGUAAUGGCUCACCAAGGCGUCGACGGGUAGCCGGCCUGAGAGGGUGACCGGCCACACUGGGACUGAGACACGGUCCAGACUCCUACGGGAGGCAGCAGUGGGGAAUAUUGCACAAUGGGCGGAAGCCUGAUGCAGCAACGCCGCGUGAGGGAUGACGGCCUUCGGGUUGUAAACCUCUUUUAGCAGGGAAGAAGCGAAAGUGACGGUACCUGCAGAAAAAGCGCCGGCUAACUACGUGCCAGCAGCCGCGGUAAUACGUAGGGCGCAAGCGUUAUCCGGAAUUAUUGGGCGUAAAGAGCUCGUAGGCGGUUUGUCGCGUCUGCUGUGAAAUCCCGAGGCUCAACCUCGGGCCUGCAGUGGGUACGGGCAGACUAGAGUGCGGUAGGGGAGAUUGGAAUUCCUGGUGUAGCGGUGGAAUGCGCAGAUAUCAGGAGGAACACCGAUGGCGAAGGCAGAUCUCUGGGCCGUAACUGACGCUGAGGAGCGAAAGGGUGGGGAGCAAACAGGCUUAGAUACCCUGGUAGUCCACCCCGUAAACGUUGGGAACUAGUUGUGGGGUCCAUUCCACGGAUUCCGUGACGCAGCUAACGCAUUAAGUUCCCCGCCUGGGGAGUACGGCCGCAAGGCUAAAACUCAAAGGAAUUGACGGGGACCCGCACAAGCGGCGGAGCAUGCGGAUUAAUUCGAUGCAACGCGAAGAACCUUACCAAGGCUUGACAUAUACGAGAACGGGCCAGAAAUGGUCAACUCUUUGGACACUCGUAAACAGGUGGUGCAUGGUUGUCGUCAGCUCGUGUCGUGAGAUGUUGGGUUAAGUCCCGCAACGAGCGCAACCCUCGUUCUAUGUUGCCAGCACGUAAUGGUGGGAACUCAUGGGAUACUGCCGGGGUCAACUCGGAGGAAGGUGGGGAUGACGUCAAAUCAUCAUGCCCCUUAUGUCUUGGGCUUCACGCAUGCUACAAUGGCCGGUACAAAGGGCUGCAAUACCGUGAGGUGGAGCGAAUCCCAAAAAGCCGGUCCCAGUUCGGAUUGAGGUCUGCAACUCGACCUCAUGAAGUCGGAGUCGCUAGUAAUCGCAGAUCAGCAACGCUGCGGUGAAUACGUUCCCGGGUCUUGUACACACCGCCCGUCAAGUCAUGAAAGUCGGUAACACCUGAAGCCGGUGGCCUAACCCUUGUGGAGGGAGCCGUCGAAG